Molecule: ribosomal RNA, 250 nt
Filed under: uncultured bacterium
Lineage: Bacteria
Description: partial 16S ribosomal RNA
Rfam family: Bacterial small subunit ribosomal RNA
Source: RNAcentral
UAGAUACCCUGGUAGUCCAUGCCGUAAACGGUGGGCGCUAGGUGUGGGGGUUUUAUUUACGAUUCCCGUGCCGUAGCUAACGCAUUAAGCGCCCCGCCUGGGGAGUACGGCCGCAAGGCUAAAACUCAAAGGAAUUGACGGGGGCCCGCACAAGCGGCGGAGCAUGUGGAUUAAUUCGAUGCAACGCGAAGAACCUUACCUGGGCUUGACAUACACCGGAUCGCUGCAGAGAUGUAGUUUCCCUUGUGGC